Molecule: long non-coding RNA, 934 nt
Organism: Bombus impatiens (common eastern bumble bee)
Lineage: Eukaryota; Metazoa; Arthropoda; Insecta; Hymenoptera; Apidae
Exons: 4
Source: RefSeq, a predicted model, not a curated record
GCGCAGUGGACAAAGCAUAACCGCAGUACAAACUUUUUCCAUGUUCGAAGGGGCAAGUAACGCGGCUCGUAACUGCGGUAGGUAGGAUUCUGAAAGGACUACAGCGAGAUCCUAUGCGAAGAAUUCCUAAAAGGAUUUGUUUACUCGCCAAAGCACGUUACUCGUUCAACUGGUGAGCGUCGAAGGUGCAACAAAUCAUUUUCGUUUGAAUUACGAAGCUGCUGACGUUCAUUGGAAUGCCGAUAAAAAGAGUUACGAGAUCCGAAACAUCAAGCGUAUACGAUGAAUAAUGAAACAACGAAGAUUCAGCAGUAUGGACACGUGUCAGUUAAACGAGGAGCCAGAAGAUUACACGAAGAAUCCUUCGAGCGGAUGCCUCAUGGACAUCCACGGCGGCAAAAAUGAAGUAAGACAUGCGUUUAAGGCAGUUAAAACGUCCCGCUGUUCUGCUUAAAAGGCGAGUGAAAGAGAGAUAAAAAUGUGCACGCGAGCCGAAUGACAUCAGCCGUGAAUAAAAUAUUAGGAUACGAUGGCUGUGCUGCUUCGACAGCUAUCUGCCUGCUCGUCGAUAACUUUCGACAACGAAUUCUCGAAGGAAAUUCUGCCUGAUCCAUACAGCUGGCCAUUUUGUCCCCGGAGGUGACCGAGAAGAUGAAGAGUAUUGGAUGGACGAGUAGUACAUGGGAGGAGGUUCCAGCUAUUUUCUCGAAGAAGAGCCACCAGAGGCGAGUGAUUCAUCCUCGAUGACGCAAGAUGAACGAAACGUGGAUUAAUCGCGUGAAACUGCUAGCAAGGUCCGUCGUAGACAAGCGUCAAAUCUGCCGAAAAGAAUAUUUCGUAUGAUAAAUAAUUACGAGGUUUCUUCGAUGACUGAUUUCAGUUUAAAACGCAGAGCAUUGAAUAUUCCGCCUUAACCCCUGAAAGCUGUCAUCAA